This is a long non-coding RNA of Esox lucius (northern pike), 3518 nucleotides long. NCBI's taxonomy places the organism in Eukaryota, Metazoa, Chordata, Actinopteri, Esociformes, Esocidae. The record is from Ensembl.
UGAUGGUGGCACAGAGGGUACGCCAAAAAUGCUGCUUGCAGCUUUAAUUUUCCACUUUCUUUGCCGUAUAAACAAAUGUUCCCAUACACCUUUGACUUAAAACUGAAUUGAGAAGGAGAAAGAAAAGGGAAAAUAGAAGAAGAGAGAGGGGAAAGUAGAAAGUGAGGGAAGUAGAGAGACAGAGAAAAAAAAAGAUAGCAAGUACAUUUCACAUUUACGGGAGAGUUUGUGCCGAAUGCAGUAAAGAGGAAUAUGAAACGUUACAAAGAAACUCAUAAUGAACCAGCCGGCAAAGAAAGGAGAAAUGGAACACUGAAGAACCAGCCGGCAAAGAACGGAGAAAUGGAACACUGAAGUUGCAAGGCAAUCACUUUUCAUUGCCUGCAGUUCUUUUUUUUCUUUGCAGGGAUUCUAAACCAAUGUGUGAAACUGGAACUAGGGCAUGUUCUAAGAUGUUUCACUGCACUCAUCUAUUUUAGUGCAACCCAAAAGAUCUUCCAAUUACUACGAAGAGAUUAGAUUAAUUCACAGAUUCUUCUGGUAUGUUCACCAUUUGAUCACAAAGAUAAAAGAGAUAAACCUUGAAUGAAGCCACAUUCUGGUGUCAGAAAUAAUUUAGGAAACAAUGUUUGCCUCUUUGAUAAUGCACUUUAGACAGAAUCCCACUAAAAUGUGUUUAACCAUGUAUUAGAAAAUAAAUGUAAAUGCAUGUUAUUAUGUCAUGGUGUUAAAGCCAGCUCUUCCAGUAUCACCGCCACCGCCAGCAUUUUUAUCAUCAAGGUAAUAAAAUAACAGUUUACAUAAAGUGUGUCAAUCCCCUUUGACUGAAAUGAAAGCAAAGCCAAUCAGGGGAAGGCUGGGGACUUUCAAUCUUACAAAGACAAUUUAUGUAGCAUAUCAACCAUUUUAAGCAAACAGCAGGAAAUAUUAGCUCUUCAAUUUCUUGCUAGGAGCAACCAUCAGAGGAUGUGUGGGCUUGUGUGUUAAAAUAUCAACUUAAAUCAUCUGCCCUGUUAAAUAAAAUUGAUGAAUCCAAUUGGUGGAGUUUCACCUGAUGCCAGAUGCACAUUCUGGGCCACAUUCAUUAACAAACACUCACAAAAAUUGCAGAUAGAAAUCACAUGUGCAGACAUGAUUUAUAACAUACAUGUUCAACACCGUAAAACUGUGUUUAAUAAAUCUCAGCGUUUCUGUUGAAACUUGAUUCACUUGAUUUUUACAUAAAUUACAUUAAUAACACAACCUUUGGGUAAUACAGGUUUUAUUUCACCAAAACCUGUACAGGGAAUAUGUAUUUAAGAUAUAGAUGCAAAUGUAAUUAUGAAUUCAUCCUACUUGGCAUCUUCUGGCCCUAUUUAAUGUAGUGAUUAGCUAUUAACACAUUCUGUAGAUAGAGAGGGAGAAAUAUUAGAAGAGGGAGAGGAGGAGAAACAAAAAGAAGGAGAGGUGGAGAGAGGAGAGGGAUUGAAACAGAAAGGAGACGGGGAGAAAGAGAGGAGAGUGGGGAAAACAGAGAGAAGGAGAGGGGAAUGAGAGAGAGAGAUUAGAGUCACAGACACUCACUCAUCUGAGGGUUCUGUUGCCCAGGAGAUUCCAUCCACUCUGUAGGAGGAAGGAUUUCACACAGUACCUCCUGACCGUGUCCACAAUGACACCCUAAAUAGAGUCCUUGGAGCCUUGGUGAAAAGUAGUGCACAGUGUAGGGAAUAGGAUGCCAUUUGGGACUCAGACUCCGUCUCUAUUUGCUGUCAUGCCUAACUACCAACCAUCCCACCAAUCCAAGCUGAUGCAAAAUAGAGCCUAGCAUUUCUCAAAAUUGUCACAUACGUCACAUACCAAAGAGUAAACUAGGUCAAACGUGUAUGAGGCAGAUAUAAUGCUCAACUCCAGAGCAAAGGGAGAGGGAGAGAGAAAGGAGGAGAGGAGGAGGAAGAGAGGGUAGAGGGAGACAGAAAGGAGGAGAGGGGGAGGAAGAGAGGGGAGAGGGGGAAAGAGAAAAGAAGGAUAAAAGAGGAGGAGGGAAGAAGAGCGAUAUACUGUAGAGUGAGAUACAGUGAGUCAUAUAAAAAGACAUAGAAAGACAGAAAGACACAGAAACAAAGCGUAGUUACAGAAAUGAAAGGACAAAUUCCACUCCGUAUUUUUUUCAUUACACUAAUUAUCACCUCCAACAAUGUACCACCUACACCAGGGCUAAACCAACCUGUAGACCAGGUGUAGACCACCCUGUAGAACAGGUGAAGACCACCCUAUAGACCACCCUUUAGAUCUGGUGUAGACCAGGGUUAGACCAACCUGUAGACCAUGGCUAGACCAACCUGUAGACCAGGGCUAGACCAACCUGUAGACCAGGUGUAGACCAACCUGUAGACCAGGUGUAGACCAGAGUUAGACCAAUCUGUAGACCAGGGCUAGACCACAUUGUAGACCAGAGGUAGACCAGCCUGUAGACCACCCUGUAGACCAGGUGUAGACCCUCCCAUAGGCCAGUGGUAGAUGGGCCUGCAGACCAGGGGUAGAUCACCCUGUAGACCAGGUGUAGACCAGCCUCUAGACCAGGUGUAGACCAGCCUCUAGACCAUGGGAAGACCAGCCUGCAGAUCACCCCUUAGACCACCAUGUUGACCAGAGGUAGACCCUCCCGUAGACCAGUGUUAAUCUAACUUGUAGACUAGAAAGUAGACCACCCCAUAGAUCACGGGUAGACCAGACCCGGUUCUUAUGUCUGCAGGUACAGCAGGUUGUUUUUUCCAGUUGUGUGAAGCAUAAGUGCUAAACACAGCUUUGCCAUGUUUAGUCUGUACUCAUGGAGUCCUGCUCGGUUUAUACUCUUCAAACAUAUCAGAAAUGUAAACCAUUCAGUGAUUUAUAGACUAAAAGCACCACUUUAAAAUUUGAAAGAUUUAAGAACCGGAGUGAUAUGUUCUGUUCUCUUGGUCCUGGUUAACACUCUAGCAACAGCAUUCUUAAUGAGCUGCAGCUGUUUUACAGUCUUUUUGGGGAGUCCAGUUAAGAGCCCAUUACAAUAAUCAACCAUACUAGAGAUAAAAGCAUGGAUGAGCUUCUCUUGGUCUUAUUGGGACACCAAGCCUUUGAUUCUGGAUAUGUUUUUAACAUGAUACAAUGGUGGUGAAAACUUUGAUAUGACUGUUAAAUGUGAGGUCUGAGUCUAUCAGAACACCAAGAUUAGAGUCUCAUCUGCAUAGCUAUAUUAGUUAAUGUAGUUGUUCUGUACAAUUUGGUCCAGAGGUAGCAUAUAGAGAUUUAACCGAAGCAGUCUGAGAACUGAUUCCUGGGGAACUCUGCAUGUCAUAGCCGCCCUUUCAGAUUCAUGAUUGCCAGUGGUAACAAAGUAACUCCGGCCAUCUAGAUAUGAUCUGAACCAAUUAAGGACUGUCCCGGAGAGUCCUACCCAAUGUUCCAGCCUGUCUAUAAGUGUUCUAUGAUCUACAGUGUCAAAUGCUGCACUGAGAUCUAAUAGAACCAGAACUGUUAUUUUAUCUGAAUCAGUGUUCAGC